AUGUUAGCAAGAGAGAAGGAAGAGAAAAAGCUCAAGGCAAAGCAAAAGGAGGGGGCUAGGCUCCAGGCUCAAGCCGCUUCGGAUGGACCGAAGAAAAGCGAGAGGAAACAAAGGAAGAAAGCCGUGGAUGAUGAAAAUCCUGAGGAUUUCGUUGAUCCGGACACCCCUAUUGGGCAGAAGAAAUCAAUGGCAACUCUAAUGGCCAAGGCGCCAAGCAGUAUAGCCCGAGCAUAG
This 234-nucleotide ribosomal RNA is filed under the name Triticum aestivum (bread wheat). RNAcentral describes it as "partial small subunit ribosomal RNA". The record is from RNAcentral. Lineage: Eukaryota; Viridiplantae; Streptophyta; Magnoliopsida; Poales; Poaceae.